Molecule: non-coding RNA, 24 nt
Filed under: Arabidopsis thaliana (thale cress)
Lineage: Eukaryota; Viridiplantae; Streptophyta; Magnoliopsida; Brassicales; Brassicaceae
Source: RNAcentral
UGUGUCUUUUAACAAGGAAACACU